ACGGAAGGCAGCAGUGGGGAAUAUUGGACAAUGGGCGCAAGCCUGAUCCAGCCAUGCCGCGUGAGUGAUGAAGGCCUUAGGGUUGUAAAGCUCUUUCGUCCGGGACGAUAAUGACGGUACCGGAAGAAGAAGCCCCGGCUAACUUCGUGCCAGCAGCCGCGGUAAUACGAAGGGGGCUAGCGUUGUUCGGAAUCACUGGGCGUAAAGGGCGCGUAGGCGGCUUUGUAAGUCGGGGGUGAAAGCCUGUGGCUCAACCACAGAAUUGCCUUCGAUACUGCAUGGCUUGAGACCGGAAGAGGUUAGUGGAACUGCGAGUGUAGAGGUGAAAUUCGUAGAUAUUCGCAAGAACACCAGUGGCGAAGGCGGCUGACUGGUCCGGUUCUGACGCUGAGGCGCGAAAGCGUGGGGAGCAAACAGGAUUAGAUACCCUGGUA
RNAcentral lists this ribosomal RNA (434 nucleotides) under uncultured Microvirga sp. RNAcentral describes it as "bacterial SSU rRNA". It matches the Rfam family "Bacterial small subunit ribosomal RNA", at positions 341 to 792 of the family's 1533-position model. The record is from RNAcentral. Lineage: Bacteria; Pseudomonadati; Pseudomonadota; Alphaproteobacteria; Hyphomicrobiales; Methylobacteriaceae.